UUAUAGCCCUGAUCGGAGCGUCAUCCCCGAUAUUUCAUCGGGAUAAAGCGGAGAGCAGGAGUAACG
Molecule: non-coding RNA, 66 nt
Organism: Pedobacter kyungheensis
Lineage: Bacteria; Pseudomonadati; Bacteroidota; Sphingobacteriia; Sphingobacteriales; Sphingobacteriaceae
Source: Rfam